UACGGAGGAUGCGAGCGUUAUCCGGAUUUAUUGGGUUUAAAGGGUGCGUAGGCGGGCUUUCAAGUCAGCGGUAAAAAUUCGGGGCUCAACCCCGUCCGGCCGUUGAAACUGGGGGUCUUGAGUGGGCGAGAAGAAGGCGGAAUGCGUGGAGUAGCGGUGAAAUGCAUAGAUAUCACGCAGAACCCCGAUUGCGAAGGCAGCCUUCCGGCGCCCUACUGACGCUGAGGCACGAAAGUGCGGGGAUCGAACAGG
RNAcentral lists this ribosomal RNA (252 nucleotides) under uncultured bacterium. RNAcentral's name for it is "partial 16S ribosomal RNA". It matches the Rfam family "Bacterial small subunit ribosomal RNA", at positions 524 to 776 of the family's 1533-position model. The record is from RNAcentral.